AAAUCCGUUGGUUUUAUAGAUCGGGAGG
This 28-nucleotide transfer RNA is filed under the name Thujopsis dolabrata. RNAcentral describes it as "partial tRNA-Leu". The record is from RNAcentral. Lineage: Eukaryota; Viridiplantae; Streptophyta; Pinopsida; Cupressales; Cupressaceae.